CCUACGGGUAGCAGCAGUGAGGAAUAUUGGUCAAUGGACGAGAGUCUGAACCAGCCAAGUAGCGUGAAGGAUGACUGCCCUAUGGGUUGUAAACUUCUUUUAUAUGGGAAUAAAACGUUCCACGUGUGGGAUUUUGUAUGUACCAUAUGAAUAAGGAUCGGCUAACUCCGUGCCAGCAGCCGCGGUAAUACGGAGGAUCCGAGCGUUAUCCGGAUUUAUUGGGUUUAAAGGGAGCGUAGGUGGAUUGUUAAGUCAGUUGUGAAAGUUUGCGGCUCAACCGUAAAAUUGCAGUUGAAACUGGCAGUCUUGAGUACAGUAGAGGUGGGCGGAAUUCGUGGUGUAGCGGUGAAAUGCUUAGAUAUCACGAAGAACUCCGAUUGCGAAGGCAGUUCACUGGACUGCAACUGACACUGAGGCUCGAAAGUGUGGGUAUCAAACAGGAUUAGAUACCCCUGUAGUC
RNAcentral lists this ribosomal RNA (460 nucleotides) under uncultured bacterium. Its description in RNAcentral is "partial 16S ribosomal RNA". It matches the Rfam family "Bacterial small subunit ribosomal RNA", at positions 338 to 795 of the family's 1533-position model. The record is from RNAcentral.